This 664-nucleotide ribosomal RNA is filed under the name uncultured bacterium. RNAcentral's name for it is "bacterial SSU rRNA". It matches the Rfam family "Bacterial small subunit ribosomal RNA", at positions 197 to 864 of the family's 1533-position model. The record is from RNAcentral.
UAAAUUAAAGCUUUGGUGGUAUAGGAUUGGCUCGCGUGACAUUAGCCAGAUGGUGAGGUAACGGCUCACCAUGGCGACGAUGUCUAGGGGUUCUGAGAGGAAGGCCCCCCACACUGGGACUGAGACACGGCCCAGACUCCUACGGGAGGCAGCAGUGAGGAAUAUUGGACAAUGGAUGGAAAUCUGAUCCAGCCAUGCCGCGUGCAGGAAGACGGCCCUAUGGGUUGUAAACUACUUUUAUAUGGGAGCAAUAAGGGUUACGAGUAGCCUGAUGAGAGUACCAUAUGAAUAAGCAUCGGCUAACUCCGUGCCAGCAGCCGCGGUAAUACGGAGGAUGCGAGCGUUAUCCGGAUUUAUUGGGUUUAAAGGGUGCGUAGGCGGCUAUAUAAGUCAGCGGUGAAAUUUUGCAGCUUAACUGUAACAGUGCCGUUGAUACUGUAUAGCUAGGAUUUGGUUGCUGUGGGUGGAAUGUGUGGUGUAGCGGUGAAAUGCUUAGAUAUCACACAGAAUAUCAAUUGCGAAGGCAGCUCACAAAGCCAAGAUUGACGCUGAGGCACGAAAGUGUGGGGAUCAAACAGGAUUAGAUACCCUGGUAGUCCACACUGUAAACGAUGAUAACUCGCUGCCGGCGACAGACAGUCGGUGGCCAAGCGAAAGCGAUAAG